Molecule: ribosomal RNA, 845 nt
Filed under: Myxobolus feisti
Lineage: Eukaryota; Metazoa; Cnidaria; Myxozoa; Bivalvulida; Myxobolidae
Description: SSU rRNA
Rfam family: Eukaryotic small subunit ribosomal RNA
Source: RNAcentral
AUCUAUUUGAUUUUCUCUCCCAUUGGAUAACCGUGGGAAAUCUAGAGCUAAUACGUGCGGUACCUUGGUGUACCUUCGGGUGCACCAAAGCAUUUAUUAGACUAAACCAACUACUAUGCAUCUGCAUAGUAAGGGGAAUCUGGAUAACUUUGCUGAUCGUAUGGCCCACUGCCGGCGACGUUUCAAUUGAGUUUCUGCCCUAUCAACUUGUUGGUAAGGUAUUGGCUUACCAAGGUUGCAACGGGUAACGGGGAAUCAGGGUUCGAUUCCGGAGAGGGAGCCUGAGAAACGGCUACCACAUCCAAGGAAGGCAACAGGCGCGCAAAUUACCCAAUCUAGACAGUAGGAGGUGGUGAAGAGAAUUACUAAAUGGUGGUCCAAUGGAUCACUUGUUUGGAAUGAACGUAACUUAAGAAAUUCCUUGAGAAACAACUGGAGGGCAAGUCCUGGUGCCAGCAGCCGCGGUAAUUCCAGCUCCAGUAGUCUGCUUUAAAGUUGUUGCGUUUAAAACGCUCGUAGUUGGAUCACGCAGUGGUGUUCAGUAAUCUAUUGUGAGGUAUCAUCAUACGUGUCCGUCACGUACGGCCGUGUGUUGGUGCCUGCAUCAGAUGACAUGCUGAAUGCCACUAGUUGCACGUGAGAUAGAUUGUUGGCCUUAAGUGAGCUGACUUUCUGGUCUUGCGGGGUGUGCCUUGAAUAAAACAGAGUGCUUAAAGCAGGUUAUCGCCUGAAUGUUAUAGCAUGGAACGAACAAUCGUGUAUAUGUGUGUGUCCUCAGUCGGUUGUGAGCCUUUGGUUUGCAGUUGUCUGGGGCGCACACGGCACCCACCAAAAUAUGGCUGUUG